CGCGGAAUAGAGCAGUUUGGUAGCUCGUCGGGCUCAUAACCCGGAGGUCGCAGGUUCAAAUCCUGCUUCCGCAACCA
Molecule: transfer RNA, 77 nt
Filed under: Helcococcus sp.
Lineage: Bacteria; Bacillati; Bacillota; Tissierellia; Tissierellales; Peptoniphilaceae
Description: tRNA-Met
Rfam family: tRNA
About the family: Transfer RNA (tRNA) molecules are approximately 80 nucleotides in length. Their secondary structure includes four short double-helical elements and three loops (D, anti-codon, and T loops).
Source: RNAcentral